GAGGGGUUCCAAGCUGACGACACACAUGCUUUACGUGAUGAUGAUGACGAUUAAAACUUGAAGAACGUGCAAUCCAACAUUGCGUUCUGAUUAUGUAGGUUAGCAGUCACCCGGAGAGCUGAACUAACCCAGCUCCCAGACAGACUCACAGGACAGAUCAUCAAAGUGCACAGUGAAGCUUUUGAAGAGCCAAUUAUUUCAACAACCUACAAAAAAAUAUAGAGAUAUUUUUUUUUAAUGUGUUUCACUCAAACCUCAUACUCGGUGCUUGACUUUAUAACCAGUGGAAACAUUUCAAAAAAGAAAUAAAAAGAAAACCAUUAUAACAUUGUACAAUAACAUUAACAAAAUGACAAACAAAACCACAAUCUGCAAUUUCCAGUAUAUUCAGUCACCUCUACUUCCUGAUAUGAAACUUUCUAUUCUGAUUGGCUGUUGUUGUUUGUCUACUGUUUUACCGUUGGCUCUCCUUGCUGCCUAUCCAAUGAGCCAUCUCUCAGACAGACAAUAGGCAUGUGUGGGGGGUCCUGUCUCUCCCAGACAGUUGUCCCCUCUCUGACUGUGUUAACCUCAGGCCCUAUUUGAAGGCCUUGUUGACAGGAGAGGGUAGUGCUGCAGCAGAGGGUUGAUUUUGUUCUCAGGGUCACUAAGACAGCUGUUGUAAAUGGGACAAGCUCAGCCCUUGUUUACAACUAUGAGGAGCAAGCCCCCUCCACAUUUCUGCCCCUUACAGUGCUCUAUUGGGAUAAAGACACCACCCAAAUCAAAUCAAAUCAAAACACCCCGGCAGCAACACUGUGAGUGUUGUAAUGCCCACUACCAAAUUUGAUCAAACAGAUAGUUAAACAUAAAAAUGUUUAUUCAAAUAAUUAGUUCUUGUCACAUUUUGAAAACACACUCGUUACAAAGUCAGACUGCACCUGUCUAUUGUCUGCAAGGUCUCUACUAAACUACCAGUGGAAACCAGCAUGGUGAAGGGGUCACACCAGUGAGAACCAGCAUGGUGAAGGGGUCACACCAGUGAGAACCAGCAUGGUGAAGGGGUCACACCAGUGAGAACCAGCAUGGUGAAGGGGUCACACCAGUGGAAACCAGCAUGGUGAAGGUGUCACACCAGUGAGAACCAGCAUGGUGAAGGGGUCACACCAGUGAGAAUCAGCAUGGUGAAGGGGUCACACCAGUGGAAACCAGCAUGGUGAAGGGGUCACACCAGUGAGAACCAGCAUGGUGAAGGGGUCACACCAGUGAGAACCAGCAUGGUGAAGGGGUCACACCAGUGAGAACCAGCAUGGUGAAGGGGUCACACCAGUGAGAACCAGCAUGGUGAAGGGGUCACACCAGUGAGAACCAGCAUGGUGAAGGGGUCACACCAGUGAGAACCAGCAUGGUGAAGGGGUCACACCAGUGAGAACCAGCAUGGUGAAGGGGUCACACCAGUGAGAACCAGCAUGGUGAAGGGGUCACACCAGUGAGAACCAGCAUGGUGAAGGGGUCACACCAGUGAGAACCAGCAUGGUGAAGGGGUCACACCAGUGAGAAUCAGCAUGGUGAAGGGGUCACACCAGUGAUAACCAGCAUGGUGAAGGGGUCACACCAGUGAGAACCAGCAUGGUGAAGGGGUCACACCAGUGAGAACCAGCAUGGUGAAGGGGUCACACCAGUGAGAACCAGUACACUCUUAAAAAGAAAGGUGCUAUCUAGAACCUAAAAGGGUUCUUCGGUUUUCCUCAUAAGAGAACACUUUGAAGGACCCUGUUUGGUUCCAGCUAAAACCCUUUUGGGUUCCAGGUAGAACCAUUUUGGUUCUAGGUAGAACCCUUUUGGGUUCCAUGUAGAACACUUUCCACAGAGUGUUUUACCCAAAAGGGUUCUAGCUGGAAGCAAAAGGGAUCUACCUUGAACCUAAAAUGGCUUUUCCUAUGAGGACAGCCGAAAAAAAAUAUUGUUCUAAGAGUGUAUGGUGAAGGGCUCAAACCAAUGUAAACCAGUAUAGUGAAGGGGUCAAACUAAUGUAAACUAGUAUAGUGAAGGGGUCAAACUAAUGUAAACUAGUAUAGUGAAGGGGUCAAACUAAUGUAAACUAGUAUAGUGAAGGGGUCAAACUAAUGUAAACUAGUAUAGUGAAAGGGUCAAACUAAUGGAAACUAGUAUAGUGAAAGGGUCAAACUAAUGUAAACUAGUAUAGUGAAGGGGUCAAACUAAUGGAAACUAGUAUAGUGAAGGGGUCAAACUCAUGUAAACUAGUAUAGUGAAGGGGUCAAACUAAUGUAAACUAGUAUAGUGAAGGGGUCAAACUAAUGGAAACUAGUAUAGUGAAGGGGUCAAACUCAUGUAAACUAGUAUAGUGAAGGGGUCAAACUCAUGUAAACUAGUAUAGUGAAGGGGUCAAACUCAUGUAAACCAGUACAGUGAAGGGGUCACACCAGUGGAAACCAGUAUAGUGAAGGGGUCACACCAGUGGAAACCAGUAUAGUGAAGGGGUCACACCAGUGGAAACCAGUAUAGUGAAGGUGUCACACCAGUGGAAACCAGUACAGUGAAGGGGUCACACCAGUGGAAACCAGUACAGUGAAGGGGUCACACCAGUGGAAACCAGUAUAGUGAAGGGGUCACACCAGUGGAAACCAGUACAGUGAAGGUGUCACACCAGUGGAAACCAGUACAGUGAAGGGGUCACACCAGUGGAAACCAGUACAGUGAAGGGGUCACACCAGUGGAAACCAGUACAGUGAAGGGGUCACACCAGUGGAAACCAGUAUAGUGAAGGUGUCACACCAGUGGAAACCAGUACAGUGAAGGGGUCACACCAGUGGAAACCAGUACAGUGAAGGGGUCACACCAGUGGAAACCAGUACAGUGAAGGUGUCACACCAGUGGAAACCAGUAUGGUUGAGAGCGUUAGCGUCAGAACGAGGAGGAGCGUUAAGGUCAUUGUUAUCUGGCUUUGUGGUGGUGGAGUGUAACCCUCAUGUUGAAUAAAUGAAUGACUGAUGCAGCCUUGGUAGUAGCUAGUCCUCCCUCCCUGCUGAGUAUCUCCCCUGUAUCUCCUCCACCACAGCACUUAACCUUUGAGCCAAUCACCUUUAUCUACCCUACAUCCCACCCCUUUCAAUGCCCUUGGAGUAGUGUCCUAAGAUAAGCCAGAGGAGGCAGGGGGGGUCACUAGGCCACAGGAGGAACUGAAAGCCCUUGAUAGGGAACACAUGCAAGGGAGGAGGGGAGUGGCAUGACACCUCUAAAGACUAGAGUCACUCCUGGGGGGUGAUAUGGUGUACUGGGGGAAGGAAGGGACUCUUUAUGUAAUGUACAACUGGAUCAGGCUGUUUUGGUAGAUGCACAUGUGUUUAUGUCUCCUCAUCCUUGUUUUUUGGCAAGGACCCUCAGGCAGGAUGCUAGGCUACCCUUUUGCUACAUAACAGUUUCAUAACAAAACCCACUUUAAUAUCUAGACUGGUAAAACCAUGUUUGACAACACCCAGCCAGUAGGCUAGACCUGGUGUCUUUAAUUAUAAUGGUGUCUAUCUGGUUCGAAUGGUGUCUAUUCAUUAUAAUGGUGUCUAUAUGGUUCUAAUGGUGUCAAUGGAUUAUAAUGGUAUCUAUCUGGUUCUAAUGGUGUCUAUUCAUUAUAAUGGUGUCUAUCUGUUUCUAAUGGUGUCUAUUCAUUAUAAUGGUAUCUAUAUGUUUCUUAUGGUGUCUAUUCAUUAUAAUGGUGUCUAUUAAUUAUAAUGGUGUCUAUCUCCUGCUCAGUGGCCCUGCUUUGCUAGGUUUGUCCAUGAGGCUUUCCGUAGUUGUAGAGCCCCUGCGAAUCUUCACUUCAGUCUCCUCUCCUAUCUUGUCCUCCACCAUGGUUUGAAUGUUGUUAUUUAGUUGACUUUUGGUUCUUACUGGGAGCCUUGUAGGCGUCUGCCUCUAUUACUUGAACUGUUGCAUCGCUCACUGUUGAAUGUCUUUAUAUUGAAAUAUAUAUAUAGAAAUAUAUUAAAGAAAAUAUCUCUUUUGUUGUUCUAUGGCGAGCAGGACUGGGUUGACUUUUAAAGAUAUAUAAUUACACAUGUUUAUGUCACAGAAAUCAUAUUAAGCUUCUUUGCAAGGAGGGAAGGAAGGAGGUGCUUUGUAAACUUUCUCAGAAAUAUGCUAAGAUCAUGUUUGUUGAUGAGAGCUUGUCUGAUAUUGCACACAUCACUCUUUGCAUCUUAAACGGUGCCCUAUCCCCUAUAUAGUCCACUACUUCUGGUCAAAAGUAGUGUUCUAGGUAAUACUGUCUCAUCUUAAGCCGCCAUUUUCUGCAGUAAGUCAAAGCAUUUCUCAUCUAUGAUGCUAAAUAUGUACUUUUUUUCUUCCUCUUGAUUUCGUCGUGUUGCUCCUCUAGUUUUUCUCUGUAUACUUCCCCCUGGCAUUGAGACCAAAGAUUUCAGUUGACUUCAUAUUUAGCCUUUAGUUGUUGAUAGUUUUGAAAGGGAUGUUUGUUUCCAUGUUUUAUAUUAUUUCCAAUGUCUUGCUUGCAAAAGAACGCAGAAGUUAAUAUGGUACAGUAGCUAGCUAGCAUUUAGGUUGUCAGAGUGAGUGAGUGUCCCGUAUAGUUAGCUAGCAUCCCCUCUUAGUGCUAAUUAUCAGUAACAGUAAUUAUCAUGAAGUAUGACAAUAAUUAAUUAUUGGGGAUAGAUGUUCCUGUGUGAUAUUUGAGGUAUAGGAUCUAUACUAAAGGACAUUGAUUUGUCUGUCCUCACUAAGCAGUGUGGUUGAGGAUAGUUUGCCUCGCAGUCUAUUUAAAUUAGACCUAUUGUUUUCUUCACUUUGAAGGCAAGGAGAGAUACAGGCAGAUUCAUUCUUAACCCAGGGUUGUAUUUUCCUGGUUAACCAGGUUCCUCUCCACACUCGUGAUGUGAGUGGGUUCAUUGGUCCAUUUUACUAUGCGUGUCAUUGGUGUGAUUCCUCUUUUAGUUUUGUUAAGGUUGUAAAGACCUCUUACUUCACCAAAAACACUCCCUGUGUCUGUCUCUUGUUUUCUCACAACACAGUCAUAUAUUUGCACACGUUGAUCCAGUCGGAGAGAUGGUUGCUCUCUCUCCCUCUCAGCUUGGAAAGGUGUAUAUGAAACAAGUACAAUGAGUUUCCCCCUGUCCAGUGGUUUGUCUUAAGAGAACAAGUGAUUGUCAGUCUCUGCAGGACAGAAAGCAACUGUCCUUUCUUUUGCUCUUUCACUCCAGAACUCAUGCAAUAUUACUUUCCUUUACUAUCAAGGGUUAGGGGUCAGGGGUCAGGGACAGAGAUGUGUUUAUGAGAGAACGCCACCGGUGUGUUUCUGUGGAACCAUGGUCAGUGGUUGUUGUUUUUUUGGGGGGGGGGGGGCAAGAUUUGCUGCACAUACUAUGAGACUUUGAGAGGGAAAUACAUUUCUAAGGGUUUGGAAGGGGGGCCAAACCAACAUAUAUAUGUUACCCAAGUUUACUUUUUGACUGUUUUAACUUAACAGUUUUCUGUGUGAAAACCAAACACUAAGUUGGAGUACAGGUACAGGGCCAUGCAGGCUUAGGUUUCCUAGAGUACCCCAGGACUGUUAUGUAGCUAUAAUGUCUGUUGUUCUUCUUGUUGACCUCAAGCAGUUCUGCAAAGUUUUAUUUGCAGCCAGUGAGGUUUGAACAUGUUGAGAUUCUCACUCGGAGUCUUCUGUGUUCUUGCCACUGCUAUCUGAUCACAAUACCCAGCACAGCUUCAAGGAGUACAGCUUAUACAAAAAAAUAAUCAUUUCAAAAGAAAAUAGAAGAAAAAAAAACAGUUUUGAAGAAAAUACAAGUGUAUAUGACUGUGUCCCUAUUCCCUCUUUUGACGUACAGAUCCAGCAUGCAUCUUGGGUACUAUUGACUGUUGUUUUUGUGUAUAAAAGAAAAAUUGAAGAAAAAAAAUCAGUUAAAAAAACAACUGUUAUUUGUCUGUUUAUGGUGUAUUCAGAUCUGAAUUGAAUCUAGCUAACUAAACAAGUCACUGCUUCCAGCUGAACCAAGUUAGUCCUAUUAUUGUCAGGUGUAUAACAUUAGAACUAAUGUAAUACUGAGAAAGAGGAACUGCACAGCAAUACAAAUGUGUGUUUAUUAUUGUGUGCUUGGCAACUGUCUCUCCAUAUUACAAUAUCUGUCAAUGUUUGAGACAUACAUUCAGUACAAUAUAAUAUGCUUUGAAUGUUCGACCUGUAAACCGCUUAUUGCGUGGCUUACAGUACACAAUUUACUCACAUAAUCCAACAAGUUAUUCUUACUAUUUCACAGACUGUUGGCAGCAUUUUGUAACUCCACCAGUUUUUGUUAUGCAGGCCAAUGCUUAGACACAAUAUCAGCAAUAAGAUAUUCCACUCUUUUAUUAAGAUAAUUACUGAUAAUAAUGACUGCUAUAUAAUUGUGUGUUUCUGGACCGACAUUGGUGUUGUUGCAUGUGGAUGGUCAUAGUCUUGUCUUCCUCUCCUACUUUGAGCAGUUUUAUACUCUGCAGACCAUUCAAACAGAGACCUCUUUCUCAGGAUUACACGUCAUCAUACAAACCUUGCUUCUGGCUUCUAUGGGUAUUUCUGUCUUCAUUUACGUUGGUUUUAAUUCCAUCACAGUACACUACUUUACUUUGCAAUAGUUUGUAUAGGUUGUAAAAUCUCAAUUUGUUAUGAGCUCAACUCAUGUACGUUAUCAAUGGAACUCCACCAUAUUGAUUUCUCUGGCAGAAUAAAGAUACUAUUUUGUUGAAA
Long non-coding RNA from Oncorhynchus keta (chum salmon), 6730 nucleotides. RefSeq lists it as uncharacterized. The record is from RefSeq and is a predicted model, not a curated record. Lineage: Eukaryota; Metazoa; Chordata; Actinopteri; Salmoniformes; Salmonidae. The transcript has 2 exons.